Molecule: Y RNA, 96 nt
Filed under: Microcebus murinus (gray mouse lemur)
Lineage: Eukaryota; Metazoa; Chordata; Mammalia; Primates; Cheirogaleidae
Description: Y RNA (ENSMICG00000041723.1)
Rfam family: Y RNA
About the family: Y RNAs are components of the Ro ribonucleoprotein particle (Ro RNP), in association with Ro60 and La proteins. The Y RNAs and Ro60 and La proteins are well conserved, but the function of the Ro RNP is not known. In humans the RNA component can be one of four small RNAs -- hY1, hY3, hY4 and hY5.
Source: Rfam by way of RNAcentral
GGCUGGUCCGAUGGUAGUUGAUUAUCAGAACUUAUUAACAUUAGUGUCACUAAAGUUGGUAUUCAACCCCCCGCUGCUAAAUUUGACUGGCUUUAA